AAAAGAUGUGGAGCCCCACAGCUUGAAAAGCACCUGCCUUGGGGGGUGCAGCCUUGGAAAGGGCUACACCUGCCUCUUAAAGGGGCCAGCCGGUAGUGCCAGGGCUCUCCCUCCCCUUUGUUAUAGGAGGAGCUCCCUCUCUGCUCCCUGGCAAAGCAAGGUAACUCUUACCAGAAACUAAAUGGAGACAUUAAAGAGGCUCAAAAGAGACUUGUACAUUUGAUGUGACCGGUAGAGAGCAUCUGAAUGGAGAGGGGGAUGCCUGCUGCUGCUUCACAAUUGCAAGCUCCGUUCUAGGGGCUGUUUGCUUCUUGCUGUUUCCCAAGGACAGACAGCAGCAGCUCCAGGGAAAGAGAUGUUUGUACACAAGCCAUCCCUCUCUGCUGCUCUUAGGCCAGGGCUGUUGGUCUGCUCUGGCGUGGAGCAGCUGUUGCUCCUUUUGCAGCAUGGAAAACUGCCUCCUCUUCAGCUCCUCUUGCUUUCCCCCAGAAUUCCCUCUAAUGAGCUUUCCAGUUCUGCUCCAAGCCUAACCUGGCAGGACCCCCACUCCUGCCAAGGUCCAUGCGCUCUUCCUCAGGAGCAGAAUGCCACAUCAGCAGGUCUCACAGCAGCAGGCUUAAGCCUUGGGGGAAUGCGUGUGAUCCUCCUGAGAAGUUGGCUGUCCCUUUGCUGCCUCCCUCCUCUGCCUUGUGGGCAGGCUGGUGUUGCUCACAUGCACCUCCAGGGCCCUUUGCUGACGGCCCCAUCUCUCGAGUGGUCAAAGGGGGGCCAGAACCUGAGAGAGGGAAGCUAAGCAAGAGAAAAAGGAGCCGCGCAGUGGAGGGAAGAAGGUUUUGCCUGCAUCUAGCACUGCCCGUAGUCUCUGCUCCACCAGGCAAAGGUGGGGCAGCUUACAGUCGUGGAAACGGGAGAGAGCCCACCAGGGCAUUGCGGGACAAAGGUGCUUAUGAAUAUGCAGAUGAGGCUCCAGUUUCCAGGCUCUGCUUUCAGGAGAGAGGCUGUGUGAUGGGGUUGCUGCCGCUGCCGCUGCCUCAAGAAGAGAAAUGUCAUGUAGCGGGGCUGGAAAUAAAUAUAUAAAGUCACUGCUGA
This is a long non-coding RNA of Gavialis gangeticus (Gharial), 1089 nucleotides long. RefSeq lists it as uncharacterized. The record is from RefSeq and is a predicted model, not a curated record. NCBI's taxonomy places the organism in Eukaryota, Metazoa, Chordata, Crocodylia, Gavialidae. The transcript has 2 exons.